AUUUUUUUUUUUUUUUUUUGCUUCUCCAUUUUCGUUACUGUUGUAAAUUUUUUUCUUAGUUUAAUUCUUUCUGGCUAUUGGAACUUGAAUUUACUCCAAUGUGGGGAUCUUCUGUACUUCUAUUGCACAAUUAUUGUCAAAUGAAUAUGGAUGUGAUAUGUGUCAUUGUUUCUAUGGUGGACAGCAUUUUGGCAUCCGUGGGAGAUUUUCGAUGCCUAAUUUCAAGCAAUGCUAUUACCAUCCCAAUCAGUGGAUCCCAUCAUCUAAAGAUUCUUUC
RNAcentral lists this unclassified non-coding RNA (277 nucleotides) under Hevea brasiliensis (rubber tree). The record is from RNAcentral. Lineage: Eukaryota; Viridiplantae; Streptophyta; Magnoliopsida; Malpighiales; Euphorbiaceae.